CAGUAGCCGCGGUAAUACGUAUGUCACAAGCGUUAUCCGGAUUUAUUGGGCGUAAAGCGCGUCUAGGUGGUUAUGUAAGUCUGAUGUGAAAAUGCAGGGCUCAACUCUGUAUUGCGUUGGAAACCGUGUAACUAGAGUACUGGAGAGGUAAGCGGAACUACAAGUGUAGAGGUGAAAUUCGUAGAUAUUUGUAGGAAUGCCGAUGGGGAAGCCAGCUUACUGGACAGAUACUGACGCUAAAGCGCGAAAGCGUGGGUAGCAAACAGGAUUAGAUACCCCGGUAGUCCCUGUCUCUUAUACC
Molecule: ribosomal RNA, 301 nt
Filed under: uncultured bacterium
Lineage: Bacteria
Description: partial 16S ribosomal RNA
Rfam family: Bacterial small subunit ribosomal RNA
Source: RNAcentral